RNAcentral lists this ribosomal RNA (506 nucleotides) under uncultured bacterium. Its description in RNAcentral is "partial 16S ribosomal RNA". It matches the Rfam family "Bacterial small subunit ribosomal RNA", at positions 29 to 523 of the family's 1533-position model. The record is from RNAcentral.
AUUGAACGCUGGCGGCAGGCCUAACACAUGCAAGUCGGACGGUAGCACAGAGGAGCUUGCUCCUCGGGUGACGAGUGGCGGACGGGUGAGUAAUGUCUGGGGAUCUGCCCGAUAGAGGGGGACAACCACUGGAAACGGUGGCUAAUACCGCAUAACGUCGCAAGACCAAAGAGGGGGACCUUCGGGCCUCUCACUAUCGGAUGAACCCAGAUGGGAUUAGCUAGUAGGCGGGGUAACGGCCCACCUAGGCGACGAUCCCUAGCUGGACUGAGAGGAUGACCAGCCACACUGGAACUGAGACACGGUCCAGACUCCUACGGGAGGCAGCAGUGGGGAAUAUUGCACAAUGGGCGCAAGCCUGAUGCAGCCAUGCCGCGUGUAUGAAGAAGGCCUUCGGGUUGUAAAGUACUUUCAGCGGGGAGGAAGGCGAUAAGGUUAAUAACCUUGUCGAUUGACGUUACCCGCAGAAGAAGCACCGGCUAACUCCGUGCCAGCCGCCGCAGUAC